RNAcentral lists this ribosomal RNA (420 nucleotides) under uncultured Oscillatoriales cyanobacterium. Its description in RNAcentral is "bacterial SSU rRNA". It matches the Rfam family "Bacterial small subunit ribosomal RNA", at positions 356 to 792 of the family's 1533-position model. The record is from RNAcentral. Lineage: Bacteria; Bacillati; Cyanobacteriota; Cyanophyceae; Oscillatoriales.
GGGGAAUUUUCCGCAAUGGGCGCAAGCCUGACGGAGUAAUACCGCGUGCGGGAGGAAGGUCUAUUGACUGUAAACCGCUUUUAUUAAGAAAGAAUUCUGACGGUACUUAAUGAAUAAGCCUCGGCUAACUCCGUGCCAGCAGCCGCGGUAAUACGGAGGAGGCAAGCGUUAUCCGGAAUUAUUGGGCGUAAAGCGUCCGUAGGUGGUUUUGCAAGUCGGCUGUCAAAGCCCGUGGCUCAACCACGGAAAGGCAGUGGAAACUACAAAACUCGAGUGCAGUAGGGGCAGAGGGAAUUCCCAGUGUAGCGGUGAAAUGCGUAGAGAUUGGGAAGAACACCCGUGGCGAAAGCGCUCUGCUGGACUGCAACUGACACUAAGGGACGAAAGCUAGGGGAGCGAAUGGGAUUAGAUACCCCAGUA